AUGGCUAUCCAGGUUGCAUCAUGCCACACCUCGGCAGAGCUUUGGAACACGGUGGAGGGGAUGGUUGCCUCUCACACCCGUGCUCACACCACCAAUGUCGGGAUCGCCCCUCGCCAAUCUGUAGAAGGGCAACUCGGGAAGAUCGGGUCCCUCUACGACGAGCUGAUCGCUGUAGGGAAGAAGGUGGACGAGGAGGACAUCGUCUCCCACAUCUUGGCUGAGCUCGAAGAAGACUUUGACCCCGUGGUCUCCGCCAUGUGCUCCUGGGUGGAACCGGUCACCAUGGUCGAGUUGUUC
RNAcentral lists this ribosomal RNA (297 nucleotides) under Triticum aestivum (bread wheat). RNAcentral's name for it is "partial small subunit ribosomal RNA". The record is from RNAcentral. Lineage: Eukaryota; Viridiplantae; Streptophyta; Magnoliopsida; Poales; Poaceae.